This is a long non-coding RNA of Planococcus citri (citrus mealybug), 2594 nucleotides long. RefSeq lists it as uncharacterized. Lineage: Eukaryota; Metazoa; Arthropoda; Insecta; Hemiptera; Pseudococcidae. The transcript has 3 exons. The record is from RefSeq and is a predicted model, not a curated record.
GUACUCACUGCUAUGAUGAUAUGAAGUAGUUCAUCUUUCAUGCGGGUUUCAGUGAAGCCAGAUUCGUGUACACCCCCUUUAAUGACCAAGUCGAUAAUUGUUUUUGAAUCAGCUGUUGAAAAUUUGAAUAUUAGUUUGAUCAGCAAUGAAAGACGACUCUGAUAGUGAGCGCAAGUAAGCAUGCUUAAUUGUUUGCCUAACCUUCAAACUACAGGAGUAAAGAAACACGAAACCGUUAUUAUUUCAAUUUUUUUUCAAAUUCUUUCUGAACUCAAGUAGAAUGAAACUUAUUUUACAUAUCACUGUUUUCCUUCUUCACAUGCAAAAAAAAAAUAUGGUUAGGUAUACUUCAUUUUUGAGGAAAAUGAUGAAUCAAAUUUCAACAUAUGCAAAUUUCAAGUACCUACGUAGUAAGUAUACCUAUGAAAAUAAAGCAUCAAUGAUCAAGAUUUUAGAACCCUAUUUUUCAAGUCACUAUAAUAAAGGACGAUGAGCUAUAAUCUGCAUAAUAUUACAAAUAUGUACUCAAACUCAGGAUGAGUUGCCUAGCCUUUGAAUUCCAGGUUAGGCAAUUGUACAUAUUACACCCAGGAUGAACUGCUUACUAACUAGUUUGAAGGGGAAUCAUUCGUUACAGCACACUUUUCGUACGUAAUAAAACUAAAUUAACUGACUAGGUAAUAGGUAUAAAUAAUUCAAUGCAAUUUCUAUUACCAUCUUCGAAUGAUGAUCCACUUUUAUUUCUGUAUUCAUUUAGUCUACUCUUCAAUAUCUAAAGAAAAAAUAAAACAAGAUUUAAAUUUUACAUCGUGCACGGUAAAAAAAAUGCUAUUCUCGAAUAGAGUUUUCAUUCAAAAUGUGUAUAGCGUUACCUUGGCAGGCAAAUCGUGGAACUUGUUGACAGUCUUAAUUUUUCCAGUUAGUUUUAAAUACGCGUUGUACAUGAAACGUGGAUGCAACCAUGGUGUUAUUAUUCGUUCCAAAAUAGCGAAAGUUGCUCUGUAAUAUUAACAACAAUAAUUUAUAAAAACAAAGUUUGUUCAUUUUAAUGUCACAUCUUCAUUCGUGGCAUCAGUAGAUACUUUAAAAGUACCACCUACCAUCCUUAUAUGUACGUCCUGCAGUACUAUACUUGUAGUAGGUACUUCCAAAUUAUUUAUAGCAUUUUUUACCAUAAUUAUAAAAAUUUUUAAUGCAACUAUAGUACUUUCAAUCACUACAAUUAUAGUAAUAUUGACUAUGUAUAUUAUAGUGUCAAAAAUGAAGAUAUUUUUCCAAUUGUGAACAUGUUUCAGAAAUUUAGUAUGGAAAUUUAAUUAGAACCAAUACAGGUAAGUUAAUCAUUCAUUUUAUGCAUUAAAAUAAUAUGCUGUAAUAUCUUAAGUAUCAAGUAUUAGGAAUUUAAAAUAUUUUUAAAUCUUACUCUUCCAUAACAUCGCCAUAUUCUUUUCCUUUAUCUCCCAUGUUUUGCAUCGCAACGCCUGUUGUAUUUUCUGUAAUAAAAAAAAUGAUAUUUUUAGUUUAUUUUUACUAGCAAAAGUACCUAUCUAAAAACGAUUCAUUGCUUGUCAGCUAAAUUGAGAAAAUUUAUGUAGGUAUAUUUUUCAAAGUACCUAUACUUAUGUUGACGAGUUGAGAAAUUGGUGAAAUAAAAAAUUGAAAACUCUAUAACCUUUUUUUUUUAAAAGUAAGUAGGUAAGCUCUCAUCAGUCAAAUUAUAAGUAAGUACAUACAACGUACAAACAAAAAAACUAAAAUUGAAAAAUAACUUGACUUAUCAAAAAAAAACAAAAAAACAUUUCAAGUAUCUCAACAAAAAUUCCCAACGUCUACCAACACAAUAAGUAGGUACAUACAAUGAACAAUUGAAAAUGCUGCCACUUGUACAUACAAAAUGAAAUGAAAAUGUAUUUUUUCCUUACCUACAAUGAUAUAGAUAUUGUUCUUCAUUGCGAGCUGGAAAAUAUCUAUUAUUUUUCCAGAAUCUGCAGCGGGUUUUAUCCAAUCAACAAUAGCCAAUGAUCUUUUUUUGAAAACCUCAACAUAUCUUGCUGUCAUUUCUGAAGUAAAAGCUGGAUUCAGAACUUUUCUCGAUUUUUUCCAUUCGUCUUCAGCUGUGAUCAAUUACACAAUUAAUUCAAUUCGUGAUAUUAACACGAUUUGUUAUGUUACUCGUAAAUAUAAUAUUUAUCAGAGGGUUUGUGAUCGUAUGUCUUAUAGUCUUACGUUUGGCGCUAAUGAUUCCAAAUCCAAUCCAUUCGUCAACGAAAUGAUGAAGAUCACGAUUAUUGCACUGAUUUGAAACAGUCUGGAAAAACGAGUAAAUCGUACUAAGAACGGUGAUACAUUCAAGUGAGUGGUGACUUUUAUCAAAAAUAACUCACUAUAAUAUCAUCGUGCUUCCAUAAAAACAUGACUGGUUCGUGACAGACCCAAAAAAGCAGCCUACGAUAGGGUAAUAUCACUUUGGCCAUUUUUCUCAGAAAUCCUGAUAAUUGUUGAAAAUUACUUUCGUUUUAUAAACAGUUAAUCACAAUCACGCAAAUACAUAAAUAUUAAAAAAAAAAAAAAAAAAAAAAAAAAACUUAAAUCAA